UUUUCAUUGGUCUUUGUGUAGAAGACAGGAAAUGAUAUGACCAUACAGUGUGAGGCCAAAUGUAGGGUAGAACAUGGAUUUAUACAUUUUUGUGCAAUUAUUAUUACUUAAAACAUAAAAAUGGUAAAUAAACAAUAAAUGGACAAUCUUUUAUUAAAAUAUAUAUAAAAUAUCCAAGAUUUUGGUAAAUAACAGUAUUCAAUUGUGACUCUUUUAAAAGAAAUCAGAUAACUCCUCAUACACCCCCCAACACAUUGAAAAUUUGAACUUGCAAUGGAUAUGCAGGCAACAAAUAAAGAUGUCUUCUCUCCUGAACAAAAUGCAAAAUUUAUAUUGGACUUAGAUUAAAUAGUUCCAAAUAGUUCUUGACAUCGAAUAGUGCAGAUUUAUUCCAUGAUGACUUGCAUUGACUGUUGGAUUUAGAGCAUAUUUUUUGGUAAGUACACUGAAUUAGAUUCUACCAUUUUAAGUGUGUGCAAGCUCCUUUAGUUCAACAUAAAAACAUCAUGAAAACACCUAUAGUAGAUUUUUCACUUAUAAUUAUAAUGAUUGGGUAUUAAGACAAGACAAACUGUAUAUGGUGUAUUAUAAUAACUAAUAAUCCACUAAUGAAGUAAUUU
Molecule: long non-coding RNA, 620 nt
Filed under: Mytilus galloprovincialis (Mediterranean mussel)
Lineage: Eukaryota; Metazoa; Mollusca; Bivalvia; Mytilida; Mytilidae
Source: RNAcentral